AUUGAACGCUGGCGGCAUGCCUUACACAUGCAAGUCGAACGGCAGCACGGGUGCUUGCACCUGGUGGCGAGUGGCGCACGGGUGAGUAAUACAUCGGAACAUGUCCUGUAGUGGGGGAUAGCCCGGCGAAAGCCGGAUUAAUACCGCAUACGAUCUACGGAUGAAAGCGGGGGACCUUCGGGCCUCGCGCUAUGGGGUUGGCCGAUGGCGGAUUAGCUAGUUGGUGGGGUAAAGGCCUACCAAGGCGACGAUCAGUAGCUGGUCUGAGAGGACGACCAGCCACACUGGAACUGAGACACGGCCCAGACUCCUACGGGAGGCAGCAGUGGGGAAUUUUGGACAAUGGGCGAAAGCCUGAUCCAGCAAUGCCGCGUGUGUGAAGAAGGCCUUCGGGUUGUAAAGCACUUUUGGCCGGGAAGAAAUGCUUGGCCCUAAUACGGUCGGGGGAUGACGGUACCGGAAGAAUAAGCACCGGCUAACUACGUG
RNAcentral lists this ribosomal RNA (486 nucleotides) under uncultured bacterium. RNAcentral describes it as "partial 16S ribosomal RNA". It matches the Rfam family "Bacterial small subunit ribosomal RNA", at positions 29 to 507 of the family's 1533-position model. The record is from RNAcentral.